AUGUACAUCCGUCAAUGCUUUUAAAACAGUUGUAGGUGUUUCCAUGCACUUAAUGGCUGAUUUUCAGCCAUCCAGUCGAGCUCACCAUCUCUAAUUAUAUAUAUAUAUAUAU
Long non-coding RNA from Sinocyclocheilus rhinocerous, 112 nucleotides. RefSeq lists it as uncharacterized. The record is from RefSeq and is a predicted model, not a curated record. The transcript is spliced from 3 exons. Lineage: Eukaryota; Metazoa; Chordata; Actinopteri; Cypriniformes; Cyprinidae.